This is a long non-coding RNA of Psammomys obesus (fat sand rat), 1931 nucleotides long. RefSeq lists it as uncharacterized. The record is from RefSeq and is a predicted model, not a curated record. NCBI's taxonomy places the organism in Eukaryota, Metazoa, Chordata, Mammalia, Rodentia, Muridae. The transcript has 6 exons.
CCUGUUGCUCCCUGGGCUUGUGAUUGUCAUUAGCAGCUACGCGUGAGAAGCUUCCAAAGCCUGUUAAGAAUCUAGUAAAGUCAGGGCGUGUGCCGCACUCUGCUAAUUGCAGCGUUUGACGGGCCGAAGAGGAGCGUUGCGACGUUGAGGCCCACGGGCUUUGGAUCCAAAACAAGCUGAUCACCGCACCAAGUCAUUUGAAGAGCAAGUUCCGCAUUGUUGAACACUCGUUUUGCAGCGGUCUUUGUUGAAGAUUAGUUAGUGAGCUCUAUUGUAUAGCACCGUGUAACUUGGGUGUUCCAGCCAGUAUUCCGGUAGGAAGCUGUGCUUUAAGAUGCCCCGGAUCAUCUGGCUCCAGUGUCUGCUGACCAGACGGAAUACCACUAUUUAACCGGACACACUCCACCGGCGUGAAAUGCUUCCCCCGUAAAAGUGUUCAGUCAGAGCCAGGCAUUGGUGUGCACACCUUUUGUCCCAGCACUUCCGGAGGCACAGGCAGGCACAUCUCUGAGUUUGAGCCCAGCCUGAUCUGCAGAGCGAGUUCCAGGACAGCCAGGGCUACACAGAGAAACCCUGUCCAGAAAACAAAACAAAACAAAACUGGGCCUGCUGUUGCAACACCGGGGAAGCAGCACGAGACAGCAUCUCCCAGAAGCCUCAGGAGCCUGGGCAUCCUGCUUAAACCACACAGGGGGCGUUUUUGCAAGCCCAGCAUGCCUCUUAGCACCAAACAACAAGGCCUCUCAUUAAGCUUGAAGAUCACUGGUUCAACUAAACUGGCUGGCCAGCGAGCCCCAUGAAUCCUCCUGCUUCGGCCUCCCUAGUAUUGGGAUUACAGAUGUACACUCUGCACUUGGCUUCUUACAGAGAAACGUUCCAGAGAACUUCUCGGGGCAAUCCGACUGAGUCUGAGGCUUUUGCUGACUUGUCAUGCUGAUUUUUGUUGCUGCUUGGUGUUGGCCUUUGGACUGGACUGGAUAAUCCUUCUUCUACAUGCAUUCCCAUCGCCAUGAGGCCAUCCAUCCUGAGUCCUCAGAGAGCUGAGCAACACAACUGCUACGGAAGUCACAAAUUUCCAGAACGCAGACAAAAAUUGAGAAGUGUCCUGGUCACUGUUUCCCUUGAACAUGGCCUUGCCUCGUACAGUGGCUGGGUGAGGAAUGGAAAGGACCAGCUUAGACAAAGAACUUCAAGAAACAUUGACCAAAAUUGCUGCAGUCUCUGAAGAAAAACGAAUCAGAUUGCCUGAGGACUGCUAGCCACUUUGUUGUAGCUUUCAAUUUUCUGAAUUACAUCUUAUCUAGCGUGUAUGUGUGUGGGGAAGCACACGUGUAUAUGUGCCAUGGCCCACAAGUUCGAGAACGACCUUCAGACGUUGAUUUUGUCAUGUGGACACUGGAGACUGACCUCGGGUCCUCCAGCUUGGCAGCAAGGGCACCUGCUGAACUCUUGACAGCCCCUACCUUGGUUUUUGAGACAGGGUGUCUAACUGGGAGCUAGGCUUGCCAGUCAGUCUAGACUGGCUGGUCCAAGCCCCAGAGACCUUCGUGUGAAACGGGAUUACAAUCAUGUGCCUCCACGUGAGCCACCACACUCGCCCGCCGCUGCUCCUUACAUGACGGCAUUAAAGGCGUACACCGACAUGUACGACUUUGUUCUGCUUAACAUUUUUUGAGAUUUAUUUUUAUGUAUAUAUGGGUUUUGCCUGCAUGUGUACCACAUGUAUGUGGCACUCGAGGAGGCUAGAAGAAAAAGUCAGAUCCUCUUGGAACUGCCCUCCCCUGGAUUUUGACAGAGAUCUCAAGCGGUCCACCUGCUUACUUUAUUUCAUUUAAUCUUUAUUAAUUUGUUACUAUUAUUAAUUUGUUACUAUUUCCCUCUUCACCGUAGAUUCUAGGGAGAGAACUCAGGUUAUCAGGCUUACCUGGUAG